Molecule: ribosomal RNA, 514 nt
Filed under: uncultured bacterium
Lineage: Bacteria
Description: bacterial SSU rRNA
Rfam family: Bacterial small subunit ribosomal RNA
Source: RNAcentral
GAUCAUGGCUCAGAACGAACGCUGGCGGCGCGUUUUAAGCAUGCAAGUCGAGCGGCAAGGGCCUUCGGGCCCCUAGAGCGGCGGACGGGUGAGUAACACGUGGACAAUCUGCCCCCCGGCCCGGGAUAGCCCAGGGAAACCUGGAUUAAUACCGGAUGAGACGGGACCCGCGAUGGCGGGAUCCGGGAAAGGCGCUGCGGCGCCGCCGGGGGAUGAGUCUGCGUCCCAUUAGCUAGACGGCGGGGUAACGGCCCACCGUGGCGACGAUGGGUAGCCGGCCUGAGAGGGUGGACGGCCACAUUGGAACUGAGACACGGUCCAGACUCCUACGGGAGGCAGCAGCUAAGAAUCUUCCGCAAUGGGCGAAAGCCUGACGGAAGCGACGCCGCGUGAACGAAGAAGGCCGUGAGGUUGUAAAGUUCUUUUCGGGAGGGGGAACAACCGUGGCAGGGAAUGGCCGCGGGAUGACGUGAAUCCCGGAAUAAGCCCCGGCUAACUACGUGCCAGCCGCCGC